AGAAUCAACGCUGGCGGCGUGCCUAACACAUGCAAGUCGAACGAGAAAGUGGAGCAAUCCAUGAGUAAAGUGGCGCACGGGUGAGUAACACGUGACUAACCUACCCUUGAGUGGGGGAUAACCUCGGGAAACCGGGGCUAAUACCGCAUAAUACCCACGGGUCAAAGGAGCAAUUCGCUCGAGGAGGGGGUCGCGGCCGAUUAGUUAGUUGGCAGGGUAAUGGCCUACCAAGACGAUGAUCGGUA
RNAcentral lists this ribosomal RNA (245 nucleotides) under uncultured bacterium. RNAcentral describes it as "partial small subunit ribosomal RNA". It matches the Rfam family "Bacterial small subunit ribosomal RNA", at positions 26 to 285 of the family's 1533-position model. The record is from RNAcentral.